GACGAACGCUGGCGGCGUGCUUAACACAUGCAAGUCGAACGGUGAUGCUCCAGCUUGCUGGCGUGGAUCAGUGGCGAACGGGUGAGUAACACGUGAGCAACCUGCCCCAGACUCUGGAAUAAGCGCUGGAAACGGCGUCUAAUACUGGAUACGAAACUGGCCCGCAUGGGCAUGGUUUGGAAAGUUUUUCGGUUUGGGAUGGGCUCGCGGCCUAUCAGCUUGUUGGUGAGGUAAUGGCUCACCAAGGCGACGACGGGUAGCCGGCCUGAGAGGGCGACCGGCCACACUGGGACUGAGACAGGGCCCAGACUCCUACGGGAGGCAGCAGUGGGGAAUAUUGCACAAUGGGCGAAAGCCUGAUGCAGCGACGCCGCGUGAGGGAUGACGGCCUUCGGGUUGUAAACCUCUUUCAGCAGGGAAGAAGCGAAAGUGACGGUACCUGCAGAAGAAGCACCGGCUAACUACGUG
RNAcentral lists this ribosomal RNA (468 nucleotides) under uncultured bacterium. RNAcentral's name for it is "partial 16S ribosomal RNA". It matches the Rfam family "Bacterial small subunit ribosomal RNA", at positions 28 to 507 of the family's 1533-position model. The record is from RNAcentral.